Molecule: transfer RNA, 85 nt
Filed under: Sphingobium phage Lacusarx
Lineage: Duplodnaviria; Heunggongvirae; Uroviricota; Caudoviricetes
Description: tRNA-Ser
Rfam family: tRNA
About the family: Transfer RNA (tRNA) molecules are approximately 80 nucleotides in length.
Source: RNAcentral
GGCCCGCUGGUGAAAUGUAGACGCACUCGCCUCAGAAGCGAGCGACCGAGAGGUCAUCCCGGUUCAAAUCCGGGGCGGGCCACCA